GUAGGAACAGCACAGCUGCAAAUCCGACUCGCGUGCAGUGCGCUUGGGAUUGCGGCAGUGC
This 61-nucleotide non-coding RNA is filed under the name unclassified sequences. Its description in RNAcentral is "S15-Halobacteria ribosomal protein leader". It matches the Rfam family "S15-Halobacteria ribosomal protein leader". The record is from RNAcentral.